UGAAACUCAAAGGAAUUGACGGGGGCCCGCACAAGCGGUGGAGCAUGUGGUUUAAUUCGAUGCUACGCGAAGAACCUUACCAGGUCUUGACAUCUUCUGCCAACCUAAGAGAUUAGGCGUUCCCUUCGGGGACAGAAUGACAGGUGGUGCAUGGUUGUCGUCAGCUCGUGUCGUGAGAUGUUGGGUUAAGUCCCGCAACGAGCGCAACCCUUAUUGUUAGUUGCCAGCAUUCAGUUGGGCACUCUAGCAAGACUGCCGGUGACAAACCGGAGGAAGGUGGGGAUGACGUCAAAUCAUCAUGCCCCUUAUGACCUGGGCUACACACGUGCUACAAUGGACGGUACAACGAGUCGCGAAACCGCGAGGUCAAGCUAAUCUCUUAAAGCCGUUCUCAGUUCGGAUUGUAGGCUGCAACUCGCCUACAUGAAGUUGGAAUCGCUAGUAAUCGUGGAUCAGCAUGCCACGGUGAAUACGUUCCCGGGCCUUGUACACACCGCCCGUCACACCAUGAGAGUUUGUAACACCCAAAGCCGGUGAGGUAACCUUCGGGGACCAGCCGUCUAAGGUGGGACAGAUGAUUAGGGNGAAGUCGUAACAAGG
RNAcentral lists this ribosomal RNA (600 nucleotides) under uncultured Lactobacillus sp. RNAcentral's name for it is "bacterial SSU rRNA". It matches the Rfam family "Bacterial small subunit ribosomal RNA", at positions 895 to 1496 of the family's 1533-position model. The record is from RNAcentral. Lineage: Bacteria; Bacillati; Bacillota; Bacilli; Lactobacillales; Lactobacillaceae.